AUUGAACGCUGGCGGCAUGCCUUACACAUGCAAGUCGAACGGCAGCACGGGUGCUUGCACCUGGUGGCGAGUGGCGAACGGGUGAGUAAUACAUCGGAACAUGUCCUGUAGUGGGGGAUAGCCCGGCGAAAGCCGGAUUAAUACCGCAUACGAUCUACGGAUGAAAGCGGGGGACCUUCGGGCCUCGCGCUAUAGGGUUGGCCGAUGGCUGAUUAGCUAGUUGGUGGGGUAAAGGCCUACCAAGGCGACGAUCAGUAGCUGGUCUGAGAGGACGACCAGCCACACUGGGACUGAGACACGGCCCAGACUCCUACGGAAGGCAGCAGUGGGGAAUUUUGGACAAUGGGCGAAAGCCUGAUCCAGCAAUGCCGCGUGUGUGAAGAAGGCCUUCGGGUUGUAAAGCACUUUUGUCCGGAAAGAAAUCCUUGGCCCUAAUACGGUCGGGGGAUGACGGUACCGGAAGAAUAAGCACCGGCUAACUACGUG
RNAcentral lists this ribosomal RNA (486 nucleotides) under uncultured bacterium. RNAcentral's name for it is "partial 16S ribosomal RNA". It matches the Rfam family "Bacterial small subunit ribosomal RNA", at positions 30 to 507 of the family's 1533-position model. The record is from RNAcentral.